This 253-nucleotide ribosomal RNA is filed under the name uncultured bacterium. RNAcentral describes it as "partial 16S ribosomal RNA". It matches the Rfam family "Bacterial small subunit ribosomal RNA", at positions 524 to 776 of the family's 1533-position model. The record is from RNAcentral.
UACAGGGGGUGCAAACGUUGCUCGGAAUCAUUGGGCGUAAAGCGCACGUAGGCGGUCUGUUAUGUCGGAUGUGAAAGCCCUUGGCUUAACUGAGGAAGUGCAUCCGAAACUGGCAGGCUAGAGUACUAAAGAGGGUCGCGGAAUUCCCGGUGUAGAGGUGAAAUUCGUAGAUAUUCGCAAGAACACCAGUGGCGAAGGCGGCUCACUGGCCCGGAACUGACGCUGAGGUGCGAAAGCGUGGGGAGCAAACAGG